UUGUUCCAGGUGAGGUCAGACUAGCUACAGACUGACCUGUGUUGUUCAUGGUGAGGUCAGACGAGCUACAGACUGACCUGUAUUGUUCCAGGUGAGGUCAGACUAGCUACAGACUGACCUGUGUUGUUCAUGGUGAGGUCAGACUAGCUACAGACUGACCUGUGUUGUUCAUGGUGAGGUCAGACUAGCUACAGACUGACCUGUGUUGUUCAUAGUGAGGUCAGACUAGCUACAGACUGACCUGUGUUGUUCAUGGUGAGGUCAGACUAGCUACAGACUGACCUGUGUUGUUCAUGGUGAGGUCAGACUAGCUACAGACUGACCUGUGUUGUUCAUGGUGAGGUCAGACUAGCUACAGACUGACCUGUGUUGUUCAUGGUGAGGUCAGACUAGCUACAGACUGACCUGUGUUGUUCCAGGUGAGGUCAGACUAGCUACAGACUGACCUGUGUUGUUCCAGGUGAGGUCAGACUAGCUACAGACUGACCUGUGUUGCUCAUGGUGAGGUCAGACUAGCUACAGACUGACCUGUGUUGUUCAUGGUGAGGUCAGACUAGCUACAGACUGACCUGUGUUGUUCAUGGUGAGGUCAGACUAGCUACAGACUGACCUGUGUUGUUCAUGGUGAGGUCAGACUAGCUACAGACUGACCUGUGUUGUUCCAGGUGAGGUCAGACUAGCUACAGACUGACCUGUGUUGUUCAUGGUGAGGUCAGACUAGCUACAGACUGACCUGUGUUGUUCCAGGUGAGGUCAGACUAGCUACAGACUGACCUGUGUUGUUCAUGGUGAGGUCAGACUAGCUACAGACUGACCUGUGUUGUUCAUGGUGAGGUCAGACUAGCUACAGACUGACCUGUGUUGUUCAUGGUGAGGUCAGACUAGCUACAGACUGACCUGUGUUGUUCCAGGUGAGGUCAGACUAGCUACAGACUGACCUGUGUUGUUCAUAGUGAGGUCAGACUAGCUACAGACUGACCUGUGUUGUUCAUGGUGAGGUCAGACUAGCUACAGACUGACCUGUGUUGUUCAUGGUGAGGUCAGACUAGCUACAGACUGACCUGUGUUGUUCAUAGUGAGGUCAGACUAGCU
Molecule: long non-coding RNA, 1092 nt
Organism: Oncorhynchus keta (chum salmon)
Lineage: Eukaryota; Metazoa; Chordata; Actinopteri; Salmoniformes; Salmonidae
Exons: 4
Source: RefSeq, a predicted model, not a curated record